RNAcentral lists this ribosomal RNA (774 nucleotides) under uncultured Neocallimastigales. Its description in RNAcentral is "partial large subunit ribosomal RNA". It matches the Rfam family "Eukaryotic large subunit ribosomal RNA", at positions 26 to 646 of the family's 3401-position model. The record is from RNAcentral. Lineage: Eukaryota; Fungi; Neocallimastigomycota; Neocallimastigomycetes; Neocallimastigales.
CGCAUCUGUGCAUGCAGCAUAUCAAUAAGCGGAGGAAAAGAAACUAACAAGGAUUCCCCUAGUAACGGCGAGUGAAGCGGGAAGAGCUCAAAUUUGAAAUCUUAAAGGGUUUCCCUUUACGAAUUGUAGUUUAAAGAAGUGUUUUCUGUUGAGGUUUUGGUAAAAGUUCUUUGGAAUAGGACAUCAUAGAGGGUGAGAAUCCCGUAUUUGACCAUUACUUUCAACUUUGUGAUACACUUUCAAAGAGUCGGAUUGUUUGGGAAUGCAGUCCAAAAUGGGUGGUAAAUUUCAUCUAAAGCUAAAUAUUGGCGAGAGACCGAUAGCGAACAAGUACCGUGAGGGAAAGAUGAAAAGAACUUUGAAAAGAGAAUUAAACAGUACGUGAAAUUGUCAAAAGGGAAGCGUUUGACACCAGUGUUGUUUUUCUGAAAAUCAAUUAAAGAACUGUUUAUGCUAAGUUGUUUAGACUUUAUCAGCUAACUGUUUAGUUUCGAGCUUUUCUUUAAUGCACUUUUCAGUUAACAAGUCAACAUCAAUUUCUUUUGCUGUAAAAAAGCUUGAGGAAGGUGGCUUGAGAUUCGUCUUAAGUGUUUAUAGCCUCUUGCCUAUGCAGUCGGAGAGAUUGAGGUCUGCAGCGUAGAUCCUUCGGGGCUAAAUGCAUUUGUGCUAAGUUAUAGCAUUUUAUAGACAACUUGUUGACUAUGAUUUGUCUUGUAGCUUACUCGCUUAUGUUAUUUUACCUACGCUUAGGAUGUUGACGAGACUGUCGAUCUC